UACGGAGGAUGCGAGCGUUAUCCGGAUUUAUUGGGUUUAAAGGGUGCGUAGGUGGGAUUGUAAGUCAGUUGUGAAAGUUUGCGGCUCAACCGUAAAAUUGCAAUUGAUACUGCUUUUCUUGAGUGUAGACGAGGUAGGCGGAAUUCGUAGUGUAGCGGUGAAAUGCUUAGAUAUUACGAAGAACUCCGAUUGCGUAGGCAGCUUACUAGACUACAACUGACACUGAUGCACGAAAGUGUGGGUAUCAAAC
This 250-nucleotide ribosomal RNA is filed under the name uncultured bacterium. RNAcentral describes it as "partial 16S ribosomal RNA". It matches the Rfam family "Bacterial small subunit ribosomal RNA", at positions 524 to 773 of the family's 1533-position model. The record is from RNAcentral.